AUGCACGCUGGCGGCGUGCCUAAUACAUGCCAGUCGAGCGAACAGACGAGGAGCUUGCUCCUCUGACGUUAGCGGCGGACGGGUGAGUAACACGUGGAUAACCUACCUAUAAGACUGGGAUAACUUCGGGAAACCGGAGCUAAUACCGGAUAAUAUAUUGAACCGCAUGGUUCAAUAGUGAAAGACGGUUUUGCUGUAACUUAUAGAUGGAUCCGCGCCGCAUUAGCUAGUUGGUAAGGUAACGGCUUACCAAGGCAACGAUGCGUAGCCGACCUGAGAGGGUGAUCGGCCACACUGGAACUGAGACACGGUCCAGACUCCUACGGGAGGCAGCAGUAGGGAAUCUUCCGCAAUGGGCGAAAGCUUGACGGAGCAACGCCGCGUGAGUGAUGAAGGUCUUCGGAUCGUAAAACUCUGUUAUUAGGGAAGAACAAAUGUGUAAGUAACUAUGCACGUCUUGACGGUACCUAAUCAGAAAGCCACGGCUAACUACGUG
RNAcentral lists this ribosomal RNA (496 nucleotides) under uncultured bacterium. RNAcentral describes it as "partial 16S ribosomal RNA". It matches the Rfam family "Bacterial small subunit ribosomal RNA", at positions 29 to 507 of the family's 1533-position model. The record is from RNAcentral.